GAUGAACGCUGGCGGCGUGCCUAAUACAUGCAAGUCGAGCGAACGGACGAGAAACUUGCUUCUCUGAUGUUAGCGGCGGACGGGUGAGUAACACGUGGAUAACCUACCUAUAAGACUGGGAUAACUUCGGGAAACCGGAGCUAAUACCGGAUAAUAUUUUAAACCGCAUGGUUCAAAAGUGAAAGACGGUCUUGCUGUCACUUAUAGAUGGAUCCGCGCUGCAUUAGCUAGUUGGUAAGGUAACGGCUUACCAAGGCAACGAUGCAUAGCCGACCUGAGAGGGUGAUCGGCCACACUGGAACUGAGACACGGUCCAGACUCCUACGGGAGGCAGCAGUAGGGAAUCUUCCGCAAUGGGCGAAAGCCUGACGGAGCAACGCCGCGUGAGUGAUGAAGGUCUUCGGAUCGUAAAACUCUGUUAUUAGGGAAGAACAUAUGUGUAAGUAACUGUGCACAUCUUGACGGUACCUAAUCAGAAAGCCACGGCUAACUACGUG
Molecule: ribosomal RNA, 497 nt
Filed under: uncultured bacterium
Lineage: Bacteria
Description: partial 16S ribosomal RNA
Rfam family: Bacterial small subunit ribosomal RNA
Source: RNAcentral